AGGGAUGUGAUUCAGUUGGUAGAGUGCUUGCCUAGCAUGCAUGAAGCUCUGGGUUCAAGCCCCAGCACCACAU
RNAcentral lists this transfer RNA (73 nucleotides) under Cricetulus griseus (Chinese hamster). It matches the Rfam family "tRNA". From Rfam's summary of the family: Transfer RNA (tRNA) molecules are approximately 80 nucleotides in length. Their secondary structure includes four short double-helical elements and three loops (D, anti-codon, and T loops). The record is from Rfam by way of RNAcentral. Lineage: Eukaryota; Metazoa; Chordata; Mammalia; Rodentia; Cricetidae.